Non-coding RNA from Notechis scutatus (mainland tiger snake), 147 nucleotides. Lineage: Eukaryota; Metazoa; Chordata; Lepidosauria; Squamata; Elapidae. The record is from RefSeq and is a predicted model, not a curated record.
CCGGUUAAGGAAAGAAAAAAACCUGCUGUUGAGAGCUGCAGAUUUCCAAAUUAGAAGACACUUAGCAAUCAUAUGAGGUCUAUGAAAUGAGUCUCUUCUGAUCCGUUACUCUUGAGUCAAGAGUAGUUCUCGACUUAUGACCAUAAU